CUACGACAACAACAUUGUUUGGGACAAGCUGGUCUACAAGAUCAGCAUACGAAGAAGGCCCCUUUUAUAUGUGAUCAACCUCCUACUACCACUCUUGUUUUUCCUCAUCCUGGACUUGGCCUCCUUUUUCAUUGAUGAGGCCAAGGGGGAAAAGCUGGGCUACAAAGUGACCAUACUCUUGUCCAUCUCUGUCUUACUGCUGAUUCUCAAUGACAUCCUGCCUUCCACAGCAGAUGACCUGCCACUCAUAGCUCUUUACUGCAUCGUAAUCUUUGCCCUCACGGGCCUCAGUCUCCUGGAGACCAUGCUGGUGAGCUUCCUGAUUGAUAUGGACAGCAGGGUUGAUCACGACAUCCAGACCUCUUCUAAGACCUGUGAGGAGACUCCGGAAGAGACCGAAUGCCAAAGAGAGUCUCAGAGAGAUGCUGAGAUCAGCCUGGUGAAGGUUGAGGACAUUCCAAACAAGGACCUUAAUGGAGACUGGCUGAGCAAUCCCCGUCUACUGCAGCGGAUCCUAGAGGUGCGGAACAUACGGCAUAAAUGUUUUUUUGCUAGCGCGAGAUGUGACAAGAAAAGGCCUGGGUACUGGGAGAGAGUGGGCCGACAAAUUGACCAGGCUUACUUUUGCCUUUAUCUCAUCACCACCAUUGGUUUUCUGGUAUUCACUUAUCAUCAGUGGCUUCAUUAGUUUUGCACUUUAUACGGUGUGUGUAGAUCAUAGGUCUUGGCGCUCGAGGCCCCCCGUCUGCUAUCUGCCUAUAUUCUAGAAUAUGUAUUUAGCAUUUAGCCAUACUCACAUGCCUUGUGUUUGUCCUUACAUUUUUACGUUACUUGACCCAUGUGAUCUUCUUCUUCU
Oncorhynchus tshawytscha (Chinook salmon) is the source of this 856-nucleotide long non-coding RNA. The record is from Ensembl. NCBI's taxonomy places the organism in Eukaryota, Metazoa, Chordata, Actinopteri, Salmoniformes, Salmonidae.